AAUCUGGGGUCGCCGACCUCCGAGUUGUAAUUUGGAGAGGCAUCUUCGGGGUGGAGCGCCGGCCCCAUGUUCCUUGGAACAGGACGUCGCAGAGGGUGAGAAUCCCGUGCCAGGCCGGCCGCCUCCGCCCCAUCGAGGGGCCUUCGACGAGUCGAGUUGUUUGGGAAUGCAGCUCCAAGUGGGUGGUAAAUUUCAUCUAAAGCUAAAUACCGGCGGGAGACCGAUAGCGCACAAGUAGAGUGAUCGAAAGAUGAAAAGCACUUUGAAAAUAGAGUCAAAAAGUACGUGAAAUUGUUGAAAGGGAAGCGCUUGAGACCAGACCCAGACCCGGGCAAACACCGCGCCCCUCGGGGCCGUGCAAUUGCCCGUGGCUGGGCCAGCAUCAGUCGGCCCGGCGGGACAAAUGCGAGGGGAAUGUGUCUCCCCUCGGGGAGUGUUUAUUAGCCCCUCGCCCAAUGCCGCCCGAGCCGACUGUGGACCGCGCCUCGGCUAGGAUGCUGGCUUAAUGGCCUUCAGCGACCCGUCUUGAAACACGGACCAAGGAGUCUAACAUCUAUGCGAGUGUUUGGGCUUCAAACCCUUGCGCGGAAGAAAGUGAGCGGAGGUGGGAACCCCCCCGCGGGGCGCACCAUCGACCGAUCCUGAUGUCCUCGGAUGGAUUUGAGUA
RNAcentral lists this ribosomal RNA (667 nucleotides) under Helvella solitaria. Its description in RNAcentral is "eukaryotic LSU rRNA". It matches the Rfam family "Eukaryotic large subunit ribosomal RNA", at positions 119 to 796 of the family's 3401-position model. Lineage: Eukaryota; Fungi; Ascomycota; Pezizomycetes; Pezizales; Helvellaceae. The record is from RNAcentral.